GCCCGGAUAGCUCAGUCGGUAGAGCANGGGGAUUNGAAAANUCCCCGUGUCCUUGGUUCGAUUCCGAGUCCGGGCACCA
Molecule: transfer RNA, 79 nt
Filed under: Salmonella enterica subsp. enterica serovar Enteritidis str. EC20120009
Lineage: Bacteria; Pseudomonadati; Pseudomonadota; Gammaproteobacteria; Enterobacterales; Enterobacteriaceae
Description: tRNA-Und (NNN) (tRNA-Und-NNN-1-1)
Rfam family: tRNA
About the family: Transfer RNA (tRNA) molecules are approximately 80 nucleotides in length. Their secondary structure includes four short double-helical elements and three loops (D, anti-codon, and T loops).
Source: RNAcentral